AACGAACGCUGGCGGCGCGCCUAACACAUGCAAGUCGAACGAGAAUCCGGGGCAACCCGGUAGUAAAGUGGCAAACGGGUGAGGAAUGCAUGGGUAACCUACCCUUGAGAAGGGAAUAACCCGCCGAAAGGUGAGCUAAUACCCUAUACGCUAUCUUUUUUUCGAAAAGGAUAGGAAAGCCGGGUCGAGGACCUGGUACUCAAGGAGGGGCUCAUGUCCUAUCAGCUUGUUGGUGGGGUAACGGCCUACCAAGGCUACGACGGGUAGCUGGUCUGAGAGGAUGAUCAGCCACACUGGCACUGAGAUACGGGCCAGACUCCUACGGGAGGCAGCAGUGAGGAAUAUUGCGCAAUGGGCGAAAGCCUGACGCAGCCACGCCGCGUGAGUGAUGAAGGCCUUCGGUUGUAAGUACGUCUGUCGGGAGGGAAGGAAGGGACGAACC
RNAcentral lists this ribosomal RNA (442 nucleotides) under uncultured bacterium. RNAcentral describes it as "bacterial SSU rRNA". It matches the Rfam family "Bacterial small subunit ribosomal RNA", at positions 29 to 460 of the family's 1533-position model. The record is from RNAcentral.